Molecule: non-coding RNA, 540 nt
Organism: Podarcis lilfordi (Lilford's wall lizard)
Lineage: Eukaryota; Metazoa; Chordata; Lepidosauria; Squamata; Lacertidae
Source: the annotation of a GenBank genome assembly
UGAGAUCAGGUGCAGAAGCGGUUUUGUGUGGAGGAUUCAAAUAUGCUGGUGUGCUGCUACUUUGGGGGGCAGGUGGGGUAACGAUUCACCUCACCCCUGUGAGUAGUGCAGUAACUAUUUGCAGAAUACUGCCUGCUUUUCAAGAGGGGUUAAAUUCUAUUGUACACAUUCAAACCAUAUUGCUAUAUCGCAUUCUGGAGUUUUCCUAUGGACUUUAACCUUAAAAAUCCCAGUUUUAGAUUUGUCUACAUUUCAUCUCUCAGUCUGGCUGCUCUCACUGUCCUUCAUAAACGCCCUUGCCUUAGAAAUAUGUUCUCGAAAGUAAAUAACUCUUGAACAUGGGCAUAAAGGUGAACUUACAAAUGAUUUUUUUUUUUUUUGCCAUGAUCUCUUUCCCCCUUUCCCCUUUUUUUGUUUUGUUUUUUUAAACAAAUGGAUCAAAAUUUAAAUAAUUCAAGCCCUGCCUUUCAGAAUGGAGGGAUUUUUUUUUUUAGUAUUGUCUAGCAAAACCAAUAAAAACCCAGAAUUUUUUUAACCAUC